RNAcentral lists this transfer RNA (72 nucleotides) under Tupanvirus deep ocean. Its description in RNAcentral is "tRNA-Ile". It matches the Rfam family "tRNA". From Rfam's summary of the family: Transfer RNA (tRNA) molecules are approximately 80 nucleotides in length. Lineage: Varidnaviria; Bamfordvirae; Nucleocytoviricota; Megaviricetes; Imitervirales; Mimiviridae. The record is from RNAcentral.
GGUCCAUUAGUUUAAUGGUAGAACAUAGCUUUGAUAAGGCUAAAGCACAAGUUCGAUUCUUGUAUGGACCAC